CUACUCAUGCAGUCGUAACAAGGUAACCGUAAUGCUUCUGUUGACAGCAAGCGGACGGGUGAGUAAUGCCUAGGAAUCUGCCUGGUAGUGGGGGAUAACGUUCGGAAACGAACGCUAAUACCGCAUACGUCCUACGGGAGAAAGCAGGGGACCUUCGGGCCUUGCGCUAUCAGAUGAGCCUAGGUCGGAUUAGCUAGUUGGUGAGGUAAUGGCUCACCAAGGCGACGAUCCGUAACUGGUCUGAGAGGAUGAUCAGUCACACUGGAACUGAGACACGGUCCAGACUCCUACGGGAGGCAGCAGUGGGGAAUAUUGGACAAUGGGCGAAAGCCUGAUCCAGCCAUGCCGCGUGUGUGAAGAAGGUCUUCGGAUUGUAAAGCACUUUAAGUUGGGAGGAAGGGCAUUAACCUAAUACGUUAGUGUUUUGACGUUACCGACAGAAUAAGCACCGGCUAACUCUGUGCCAGCAGCCGCGGUAAUACAGAGGGUGCAAGCGUUAAUCGGAAUUACUGG
RNAcentral lists this ribosomal RNA (513 nucleotides) under Pseudomonas fluorescens. Its description in RNAcentral is "bacterial SSU rRNA". It matches the Rfam family "Bacterial small subunit ribosomal RNA", at positions 49 to 557 of the family's 1533-position model. The record is from RNAcentral. Lineage: Bacteria; Pseudomonadati; Pseudomonadota; Gammaproteobacteria; Pseudomonadales; Pseudomonadaceae.